UCAUGGAUACGCCUUCAACCGGAUCCCCUUCACACGUGACCACGGCACAUAAACACACAGACAGCAACAAGUGUCGGGCUGUAGGGGGGGGGAGGUUUCCCUGCAUAGUCAUGCCUUGGUAUUGUUGGCACAGGGCCAGCGUUGCCAUCUGUCUCCUCUCCCCCUUUUCCUGUCUCUCCUCCUCCUCCUCCUCCCUCCUCCAAGCCAAUCUGCUCUACAUUUGCUAUCAUUACGUGCCUGCCAUCCUUAUGGCAUAUCAGAGGCAGACGCCAGGCACCCUUUACCCCUCUCUCUCUCUCUCUCUCUCUCUCUCUCUCUUUCUCUCUCCCUCUCCUUCCCCUCACGCCCCUCUCUUCACGCCCCUAUUUCCGCGCCCACUUUGCCACGGAGUUCUCUACAGGGUCCAGGUGGCAUCUUGCCCUGCUCUCUUCUCGGAGCCACGACGGAAAACAAAGAAGUGCAGCGAAGAGAACAAAAAAAAAAAUGCCCGAAAACGAGGAUACACUCCUUUCCACAUCCUGCUUGGAGCCCGCUGUGCUUCCUGUGCCCACAGGCUCGGUGUUGGUUUGUUGUUGUUGUUGUUGUCGUUGCUGCUGAAUUCCAUGGUGCUUCUUCCUGUGGAGCUGGGAAGUAAACCUUUUCAAAUCGUGGAACUUCUCUGGCUUUGGUGCCAUUAACUGGACCCUGACGAAUUCAUUCUCGACGCGACAAUGGUUUCCUAUGGAGACGAAGGGAUGGCGAUUGGACGAGCGAGGGUUAAAAGCGAGCGCUGCAGGAGGAGAGAGAGAGUCACUGGAGGACUUGCUAAUUAGGCAGCGGCAACACGAGCCUCAUCUGCAUGCGGGGUAUGCAAAUUGACCGGCUGGCUCUUUCUUUUUGUCCCGGAUCAGAAGGCGAGAGCUGCAGAGAAGAAUUAAGAGCCAUUAUUCUACCCAAGGAGAGGCUGAUGUAUGCAGAAGAGGGGGAUGAGGAUGAGAGGAAAGAACACUUUUACCACAGAGAUGUACAAUGGACUCCACUGGAAAGGAGAGUCAAAUACAAUCACACAAACGCACUCUUAUUCUCUCGCACAGCCUGGAAGAUCCUUCUACAUUUGAGGUGGAAAUUGCGAAAGAGAAAACGGCAAUCACGCACCUUUAUUUGCCGUUAUGCCUAUCUCCACAUAUCGAUAGGCUGCUUUGUGGAUGAUAAUUACCUUUUGGAAUAUCGAAUCCCGAAAACGAGCCACGGAAACGAAGGAACAAGAAGAAAGGACAGAAAAAAGAGCGGAGGUAUGCAAAGGCGCUAAUGAUAUUCACAGCGCCGCGUGUGUCAUCUGCAUGAUGACAACGGCCAAUUAUAAUGAACCAUUGGCUCUCUGACAUAGAUAAGUAGGAGAGAAAAGGAUAUGGGUGAAAAGGAGCGCGAAAAAAAAAAAAAAACUUCUGCGAUCCUUCUUAAUUUGCCGCUGAUAUUUUCAGAUUUCGUGUCGUGUGGAUUUACAGUGACGAUACAUCUUGAAAAAAAAAA
Molecule: long non-coding RNA, 1509 nt
Organism: Gasterosteus aculeatus aculeatus (three-spined stickleback)
Lineage: Eukaryota; Metazoa; Chordata; Actinopteri; Perciformes; Gasterosteidae
Source: RefSeq, a predicted model, not a curated record